AUGAUGUUGCCCGAGGGGCACGGGCUCCAUCCCCAUGAAGACGACAAGAAACGUUUCUUCAACCUGUCCACUGGAGUCUUUGUCCGCCCUCGACUUCCUCUUCUCAGAGACCAGUUCGUCCUCUGCCCAGCAGAUGGCCUGCUCCUCCUCCUACGGCCGUGGCAAUACACCCACGGCAACCGUCUAUGCCUCCUCCACCCCUUCACGGGCGAUGUUGUGGAGCUUCCGGCAAACAUAACUCUCCCAGAAAACUUGGGAGCACGCUUGUUGCCGACCAAUGUGUUUGCCGCUGUGAGCACAAGUCCGGAUGGAGUUCUUGGGGUCAUGAUCGCGUUUUGA
This 339-nucleotide ribosomal RNA is filed under the name Triticum aestivum (bread wheat). Its description in RNAcentral is "partial small subunit ribosomal RNA". Lineage: Eukaryota; Viridiplantae; Streptophyta; Magnoliopsida; Poales; Poaceae. The record is from RNAcentral.